Colias croceus (clouded yellow) is the source of this 782-nucleotide long non-coding RNA. RefSeq lists it as uncharacterized. The record is from RefSeq and is a predicted model, not a curated record. NCBI's taxonomy places the organism in Eukaryota, Metazoa, Arthropoda, Insecta, Lepidoptera, Pieridae. The transcript is spliced from 2 exons.
UAAAUGGGGCAAAUGGUACAACAUGUUCUUCUAAAAUGUCUCUGAUGUAUCGAUCUGCUGUCAUGGUCCCUCCUGUGACUAUCGCUAACUCCGUGAGAGCUCCCAAACAUAUCCCUCCCCAAACCGUAAUCGAGCCGCCACCAUAAGCCACUGUGUGUUCAAAAUUAGACUGUAUGUGGCGUUCUCAUUUGUGUCUCCAUAUUCGCUAUCUCCCAUCGAUCUGUUUUAAAAGAACUCUGCACUCAUGAGUAAAGACAACCUGCUGCCAUUCGUUCAAAUCCCUGACGAUGUUCUCGCGCAUCGGUUUCUGUUCCGCUAAUUGUGCCGGUGUGUGUAUAUACUCAGUUACUAUAGGUACUUACAAAUAUUUAAAGUUUAAAGAAUGAUAUACGAUUACUUCCAGUGACCUUCUUUGUGAUUUACGAAAAAAAAUGAGCAGAAACUAAAUUCUACAUUCAAAAAAUAUAAUCUAGUUUGUUACGUCAGUUUUCAGUCGAAAAGUGAAGCGUGAAAUUGAGACCCGAAAUGUUGGGGAAGAAUAUGAUUAAUUUAUUUGUUCGUGCGAAAAAUAAACCAAAGUUCCAUGUGCCUAAGCGGAACUUUGCUCAAGUUGGAGUAGGUAUAGCUACACCCCCAAGAGCACCAUGUUCCUACUUUGAAAAACUGUUACACAUGGCGUUUAUUACAACUUUUUGGCUAACCCCAUGUUUAUACUUCUUGACACAGAUUAAAGUAUGGCGUCGAGAAUAUAUUGAAAAUAAAUAAAAGUAUUUAGCAUAAUA